AAAGAACAAAAAAGACGUUUAAGGUUUUAACCCGCUUCGGCCACCUCCCGAGUCCCCACGUGUUUGAUGCAAAAAAAAAAAAAACAAAAAACAAAAACGACGAGAAUGAACAUCAUCGCUGCGCCCCAGCCUUGCGGGGGCCGUCGUCCCGACGCGGGCAGCGGGUGUUUGCCCCGGCCGAGGUCCCACCCCGCCCCGGGGUCUCCCUGCGCUGCCUUUGUGUUGGCGGGUCAGGCACCCCCGCGGCUUCACCGGGCGGGUGGUCGGCGCGGUCCCGGCCUCAGCGGAGACAGACCCCGCCCUGUCAGCUCACCCCGAGGUCUGGGCCUUCUGGAGGCUGCUAGCUAUUCACACAGCAGGGCUGAUGAAAGUGUCGGUCUGCCAGAGCCACGUUGGUUCCCGAUCACAAAUGACACAAUCGCAUUGUGCUGGGCCCUUCUCUGGACUCUCUCAACCUUGUUCCAACGGAGGACAUCUAAGCCUGGGAAUUUCAAAUAUGUGGCAGAUACUGAUGGGAGAGAGGAGCUGCCUUAGUCAAACUCUUUUGAGAAAUGUCAAGUGACAACAAAAGGCAAGACUACUUUUUCUUUGCGUGACAAUUCUUCCAACAGUGAAAUGUUGAAUAGCAGGUUAUGACCAGUCGUGGGAGCAGAGGUGGAGCUGAAGUGGAAAUCAGCUGAUCAGAUGUGAGGGUCCCAGGAGGCCUGUCCAGGACAGGAACUAAGCAUGUUUGGCCAGAAACAACACAGUGACUCCCAGUGUGAAGCACGGAGCUACAGCAGCCAUCUUAGGACCGUGUGGGGAGCUGGCCUAGGACAAACCAGUACUCUGAAGGAAAAAUGUCUGCUUUUAUGCCUGGCCUCACUAUAAAAAUCAGGUAAGUAACAUGGAGAAUAGGGGCUACCAAGAAACUACUCACACAGGCUAACUGGGAUUACUGGAGACCACGGAGCUUUUGGUGACUUCUUCUGACCUCUGCUGGACACACAUGGAAUUGCAUGGCCCUCACGUCCUUCAAAACAACCGGCGGAAUUAGCGUUUUAGAGUUGAAGUUUACAGAGUGUCUCAUCUAAAUCUCUCACAUCACAGAUGAAGUAACUAAGGCCCCACGGAUUUCUGAAACUCAUUCAAGGCCACUCAGUGACACAGUGGCACAUUGAGGACCAGCACCUAGAAAUGUUUUAUCUCCCAAUAAGACAUGGAUAUGCAUCCACUG
This is a long non-coding RNA of Prionailurus viverrinus (fishing cat), 1216 nucleotides long. RefSeq lists it as uncharacterized. The transcript has 4 exons. NCBI's taxonomy places the organism in Eukaryota, Metazoa, Chordata, Mammalia, Carnivora, Felidae. The record is from RefSeq and is a predicted model, not a curated record.